CCUACGGGAGGCAGCAGUGGGGAAUAUUGGGCAAUGGGCGCAAGCCUGACCCAGCAACGCCGCGUGAAGGAAGAAGGCUCUCGGGUUGUAAACUUCUUUUAUCAGGGACGAAGCAAGUGACGGUACCUGAUGAAUAAGCCACGGCUAACUACGUGCCAGCAGCCGCGGUAAUACGUAGGUGGCAAGCGUUAUCCGGAUUUACUGGGUGUAAAGGGCGUGUAGGCGGGAAAGCAAGUCAGAUGUGAAAACCCUGGGCUCAACCUGUGGCCUGCAUUUGAAACUGUUUUGCUUGAGUACUGGAGAGGCAGACGGAAUUCCUAGUGUAGCGGUGAAAUGCGUAGAUAUUAGGAGGAACACCAGUGGCGAAGGCGGUCCGCUGGACAGCAACUGACGCUGAGGCGCGAAAGCGUGGGGAGCAAACAGGAUUAGAUACCCGGGUAGUC
RNAcentral lists this ribosomal RNA (443 nucleotides) under uncultured bacterium. RNAcentral's name for it is "partial 16S ribosomal RNA". It matches the Rfam family "Bacterial small subunit ribosomal RNA", at positions 338 to 795 of the family's 1533-position model. The record is from RNAcentral.